Molecule: non-coding RNA, 30 nt
Filed under: Mus musculus (house mouse)
Lineage: Eukaryota; Metazoa; Chordata; Mammalia; Rodentia; Muridae
Source: RNAcentral
UCCCGUCUUGGUGCUUGUUGGCUCUGCUGU